GGGCUCGUGGUGUAAAGGGAACACAUCUGUUUUGCACACAGAGGAUCGGGGUUCGAUUCCCUGCGGGUCCA
This 71-nucleotide transfer RNA is filed under the name Actinomadura viridilutea. Its description in RNAcentral is "tRNA-Ala". It matches the Rfam family "tRNA". From Rfam's summary of the family: Transfer RNA (tRNA) molecules are approximately 80 nucleotides in length. Their secondary structure includes four short double-helical elements and three loops (D, anti-codon, and T loops). Further hydrogen bonds mediate the characteristic L-shaped molecular structure. tRNAs have two regions of fundamental functional importance: the anti-codon, which is responsible for specific mRNA codon recognition, and the 3' end, to which the tRNAs corresponding amino acid is attached (by aminoacyl-tRNA synthetases). tRNAs cope with the degeneracy of the genetic code in two manners: having more than one tRNA (with a specific anti-codon) for a particular amino acid; and 'wobble' base-pairing, i.e. permitting non-standard base-pairing at the 3rd anti-codon position. Lineage: Bacteria; Bacillati; Actinomycetota; Actinomycetes; Streptosporangiales; Thermomonosporaceae. The record is from RNAcentral.